UUUCCACUUAAUCCUCCUCAUAUGUCCUGCCUUUGGAGGAAUAACUCUUCUUUUCAGCCAACUAGAAUGGUUACAUAAUGCCAAAGAUUUUCCUUGUUUAAGGUAGAAAGGGGGUCUUAAUACUGUGAGUCCUCUUAGUACUCUUGCCAGAACUUCAGAGGCUAGUUAGGGAAGGAUAGAGGAGAUAAACUAGCACUGGAAAAUCUGCCUGUAUUAUCUUUUUUUUCUGUUCCCCAGGUGAAGUGCUGAAACAUCUGCUUUGAAAACGUAAAGAACCAAAACAUCGACAACAACGAAAGGAUGAGUCUCUGUGUGCAGCUCAGACAUUGCUUCUCUGUCCCAGCUGCAAAUCUGGGGCUAGCACCCUUCUACACAAGAGGGACAGAAAAAAGCCGAAAGUUCACAGGAAUACUUGGCCAUUUAAAACAAGUAAGCAGAAGCAAAACCCCAUUCAUUUAAAGCAUAAUUUAUCUAUCUGCUAAGUAUUUGGACUUUCAAUUUAGAGGAAUCAUUGCUGCUGUGAGACACAGUCUUAUCUACUGUAAUUUAAUAAGAUAUUUAAAAAUUACUUUUAAUAGUUUUUCCUUAGCAGUUCUGUAAAGGUAAUCUGCAUUGAAAUUUUGCUUCUACUGGGAAGAAUUCUCAGACGGUGGUAGAACAUGCUCAGGGUUAGAUGAAAUGUACUCUGAAUGUGUUUGCAGUCACAGUGGACUUUGAAUUUGGG
This 724-nucleotide long non-coding RNA is filed under the name Chinchilla lanigera (long-tailed chinchilla). RNAcentral describes it as "lncRNA (ENSCLAG00000026079.1)". Lineage: Eukaryota; Metazoa; Chordata; Mammalia; Rodentia; Chinchillidae. The record is from RNAcentral.